This is a long non-coding RNA of Bombyx mori (domestic silkworm), 1159 nucleotides long. RefSeq lists it as uncharacterized. The transcript is spliced from 2 exons. The record is from RefSeq and is a predicted model, not a curated record. Lineage: Eukaryota; Metazoa; Arthropoda; Insecta; Lepidoptera; Bombycidae.
GUUAACCUAAAUACGUUAAUAAAAGAAAUAAUUGAAAUUUUCCAUUUAAAGAUUUUGGUAGAGAUCGGAGCUCUGCCCCGAAUGAUCAUCGGAAUCUUGCUUUCGGAGUCUCAAUUGUAUUUUAUAAUGACCAAACUCACUCUUCAAACAUUUACUGCUUUACGGCAGCAGUGGGCAGGAUAACGGUGCUCACACGUGCAGACCUACAAUACGCCCUAGCGCCAUUAAGAUUAAAGAAAAAUUAGAUGAUAAUUGAGGAAUACUCGAGGAAAGAAAAAAUACCUAGAUACCGACGGCAGCGCCAUCUGCCGGGCUGAUUUGUAAAUGUAAACCAUUCUCGAAUCCACCUGAAGAUACACAGAAAAUUUCAUUAAAAUCGGUCCAGCCGCUUAGGAGGAGUUCAGUGACAAACACACGCACAGAAAAAAUAUAUAAAAGAUUUCACCAACAUUAAAUAUUCAUAUCAGCGUCAAGUGACACAGACAGACAUUUGUGAAGAUCACUAGCCCAGAAAAAUAGCCCAGCAAAAGGAGCUAAGCAAGAUUCAUAAAAAAAAGUUAAAAGACCACACACGAAUGAAGGACUGAUAGCAGAGUGAAUGACCAGUCGUCCACGAAAACUUAAGUAUUCAAUCGUUGGAAAUUCUCGUAAUGGCAAGGUUCAAAUCAUAAGUUUAGUUUCAAUUAUAUCUGGGACACGCAAAAAACGAAGAAAAUUGACGAAAACAACUCAUGCGAAAGCCCCUUCAGGCACCGCUUUCACAAGUACCCAAUAGAAAUAAUACUAAAUAUAUGAAAAUAUACAGACAAUGUUUAGGAUUUUUUUCACUUUCCUAAAAUAUUUUACGAGUAGAAAACAGAUAUCGGAAUAGUGGCUGCCGAGAAAUCAGUAGAAUAAAAACGUCUUUUUAUUAUUGACUUGGCUAGUCCUAACUGCUAUUUCUAGUCUUGUUGAAGGAGUACAUAGACCACAGUUAUAACCUAUAAAAUCCUUCGCUUCACAGUUCUUGUACCUUAGAAAGAAUUUCAUUAUAAGCUAGCUGACCCGGCGGAUUUCAUAGUGCCUCAAUCGAUAAAUAAAAGGCUUAAAAUUUUGUAUAAAAUAAACUUAAAACAAACAACAUCAAAGGAAAAACAAAAUUGUUUGUUUUUAUUUUUAA